Long non-coding RNA from Ochlerotatus camptorhynchus, 251 nucleotides. RefSeq lists it as uncharacterized. The transcript has 2 exons. The record is from RefSeq and is a predicted model, not a curated record. Lineage: Eukaryota; Metazoa; Arthropoda; Insecta; Diptera; Culicidae.
GAACCAAAAUACUCAAGGCAUUUACCUUUUGUAGAAGUGCCACUUGUCGGGAAGUUCUAGAAAGAUUCUCAGAACUUGACUUGUGAGUCCUCUGAACUUAACCAGGAAGAAAUGUGCUAGAAUUGGAACCUGAUCUAGAAGUACCCUGGAUUUGUUUUGGAAAUCUCCCGAACAUGCCCGUCUAAACUUCCUUUGUAAGACUUUUGAUGGCCUUGAAACUAUCGGAAGUCUUUUUGAAUUUGCGCAGAAAA